Molecule: ribosomal RNA, 460 nt
Filed under: uncultured bacterium
Lineage: Bacteria
Description: bacterial SSU rRNA
Rfam family: Bacterial small subunit ribosomal RNA
Source: RNAcentral
CAGGCCUAACACAUGCAAGUCGAACGGCAGCACAGUGUGUAGCAAUACACUGGGUGGCGAGUGGCGGACGGGUGAGUAAUGCUUAGGAAUCUGCCCAAUGUGGGGGAUAACCAGUCGAAAGAUUGGCUAAUACCGCAUACGCCUUUACGGGAAAGCGGGGGACCUUCGGGCCUCGCGCCGAUGGAUGAGCCUAAGUCGAUUAGCUAGUUGGUGGGGUAAUGGCCUACCAAGGCUACGAUCCAUAGCGGUCUGAGAGGAUGAUCAGCCACACUGGGACUGAGACACGGCCCAGACUCUACGGGAGGCAGCAGUGGGGAAUAUUGGACAAUGGGCGAAAGCCUGUUCAGCCAUGCCGCGUGAGUGAAGAAGGCCCUAUGGUUGUAAAGCUCUUUCGCGGGGAACAUAAUGACGGUACCCGCACAAUAAGCCCCGGCUACCUCCGGCCAGCAGCCGCGGUAAU